GGAGGGGAGGGGAGGGGGGAUAGUAGAGGAUAGGAAAGGCAGCAGAAUACAACAGACACUAGUAUGGCAAUCUGUAAAUCAAUGGAUGUGUAACUGAUGUGAUUCUGCAAUCUGUAUACGGGGUAAAAAUGGGAGUUCAUAACCCACUUGAAUCAAAGUGUGAAAUAUGAUAUGUCAAGAACUAUGUAAUGUUUUGAACAACCAACAAUAAAAAUUUAAAAAAAAAAUGUGCUGGGGUUGUGGCUCAGUGGUAGAGUGCUCAUCUGGGACACGCGGGACCCUGGGUUCAAUCCUCAGCACCAUGUAAAAAAUAAAUGAAUGAAAUAAAGGUAUUGUGUCCAACUAUAAAAAAAUAAAUAUUUUUUUAAAAUGUGCUAUGGAGGUAUAAGGAUGGCCUUAGGUCUUAGCCUAAGCAACUCUAUUUUACAACUCCACUUUGAAACCUGCAGUCUCACCAGGCACGCCUAAGGAGCCCUCCGAUAUGAUCAUCAGGCAGAGCCUAACAUAAACAAGUCACUUCUCACCAUCCUGACAAGCCCAGAAUGAAGUCUCUGUCAUGUUGCCCUUGCCCCAUAAAGGGGAGAGGCAAGAAAAUCAGGGUGGGGAACCACCAGACCAGAUGCUUAACCCCAGAACAAAUGACGUCACCAAGAAAUCCAGUGGCAGCUGAUAAGGAUUGAAAAGGUGGUCAGAAGCCCCAAAAUUUAGUAUAAACGAUGGAGCAAAUGAAGAGACAUUCAGCUAGCCAACACUGAUGCCCUCAUGCCGGAGAGCCUGAUGAGGACCUGGACUGACAUCCCAACUCUUCUCAUCAUUUUCCUGAUCCCCUGCAUCUUCCUCACCACUCUCAAACUCUACAGCCACAUCUUAACCCUGGUGAGAACUGCAACUUCUCCCUAUGACCCUCUCUUCAAUGGACUGUGAGCUCCACCCCAGGAGAAGCCUGCCUCGGUCCCUGACCUGAUCACCAUGGUCUGAGUGAGUGUGCAUCUUCUGGAUUUAGAGCUUAAGGCUUGAGACUUUAGAUUGGCACUUGAGCUUAGCAUACAGAGACAAUAUCUGUCGUAAGCCUGUCAUGAUUAAGAAUGUUUACAGUGUUUAGAAUUAAUCUAGAAUUGUUUGCUAUGGAUUGACUAUGUUUAUUGCAGUGCCUAGCAUUAAAGAUUGUCAUUUUCUUGAUUAAGAACCUAUAGAGUGAAAUUGUAUUCAGUGAUUUGAGUAAAUAAAGCGUUGAAAGGGCAGAAGCACAUGGA
Molecule: long non-coding RNA, 1253 nt
Filed under: Marmota monax (woodchuck)
Lineage: Eukaryota; Metazoa; Chordata; Mammalia; Rodentia; Sciuridae
Source: RNAcentral